GAUGAAGAACGCAGCGAAAUGCGAUAAGUAAUGUGAAUUGCAGAAUUCAGUGAAUCAUCGAAUCUUUGAACGCACAUUGCGCCCGCCAGUAUUCUGGCGGGCAUGCCUGUUCGAGCGUCAUUUCAACCAUCAAGCCCCCGGCUUGUGUUGGGGACCUGCGGCUGCCGCAGGCCCUGAAAUGCAGUGGCGGGCUCGCUGUCACUCCGAGCGUAGUAGUUACAUCUCGCUCUGGGCGUGCUGCGGGUUCCGGCCGUUAAAAGCCUUAUUUACCCAAGGUUGACCUCGUAUCAGGUAGGAAGACCCGCUGAACUUAAGCAUAUCAAUAAGCGGAGGA
RNAcentral lists this unclassified non-coding RNA (334 nucleotides) under soil metagenome. RNAcentral describes it as "partial contains 5.8S ribosomal RNA, internal transcribed spacer 2, and large subunit ribosomal RNA". The stretch from base 1 to 120 matches the Rfam family "5.8S ribosomal RNA", at positions 35 to 154 of the family's 154-position model. The record is from RNAcentral.